Molecule: ribosomal RNA, 253 nt
Filed under: uncultured bacterium
Lineage: Bacteria
Description: partial 16S ribosomal RNA
Rfam family: Bacterial small subunit ribosomal RNA
Source: RNAcentral
UACGGAGGGUGCGAGCGUUGUUCGGAAUCACUGGGCGUAAAGCGCGUGUAGGCGGCCCACUAAGUCUGAUGUGAAAGCCCGGGGCUCACCCCCGGAAGUGCAUUGGAAACUGGUGGACUCGAGUCCCGGAGAGGAGAGUGGAAUUCCUGGUGUAGCGGUGAAAUGCGUAGAUAUCGUGAGGAACACCAGAGGCGAAGGCGGUUACCUGGACAGUUACUGACGCUCAGGCACGAAAGCAUGGGGAGCAAAAGGG